UAAGGAAGCCUUCGCCUUUUAUGUUCCUCUAAUUUUACUCCAUGAUCUCACAGGGAAAUGAGUGGAGCAAGUGGCUCAUCAGCCACCUUGGCCUCUGAAAAGAAUUGUCCCAGAAGCCAUCUCUCUAUCAAACCUGGCUAAUUUCUUCUCUCCUCCUUCAGCUCUGGCCUCUUCCUGCUCACCUCUGCCAAUCUCCUUUCCUUCCACUCAAAGUCUGGCCACAACAAAAAAGAAAGCAGGUUUGGAGAGAGGCCUUCUUGAUUUGGACCCACCAUUCCAGUCCCUCAAGAUCUCUCUAAAUCCACACUCUGUAGUGGAGCAUUUUGGCUCUCCUUCCCAGCUUUGUGGCCCUUGAACAUUUGGUAAGCAUGUCAUCCAUAUCUUCAUGGUGUCCCUUACAACAUCCACAGAGAGGACUGAGGCAGAGAGCCAGAGGGCUUUGGCAGAUCAACCCUCUCUAGUCUGCUGCUAAUCCACAAAAACAUCUCAUGCAUAUGGUUGUUCAACUUGUGAAAUUUCCUAAAUACUAUCAGCCUGCAUAUCUCCAUUUUAUCCAAGAUUACACCACGGAAGACUUACUUUGUUCUAAAAAUAAAAGCCAGAAACAAUCCUUAUGAGUAGGGAAGCUAUGGAUAUUCUUCUGAGGCUUCCCUUUGUUCCUCCCUUUGCCUACUCUUUCCUGUCCCCACAACCAGAAGAAUAUGGCCUGGAAGCCAGGCAGACCCUCAAAACCUUCAGACCAAAGGCAUACCUCUGCUAAGAAGAGUUUCUUUUCUCUUUCAGGUAUUUUUAGUCUUCAUAGUCCUACAGAGUAGGACAUUUUCCUUAAAAACAUUUUUACAGAAUUAGAAAUUGAAUCUCAGAAAAAUUAAGCAAUUUUUUCUCAGAUCUUAUCACCUAGCUAGUAGGGACACCCAUAUUUAUAGUCCAGUCUGUCCACCAAGGUUCAUACUUUGCCUGCUAUGUUAUAUCAAUACUACUGUGUCUAUACAUGCCAGGACAAAUAAAAAUGUUGAGGAUCUUUGAGACCCUCUUAAUCUACUCUUCAUUCCAGAGAGUACUAAACUCAAUUACUGAUGGACAAAACAACACAUAUCCCAGCUACCUGAAUGGCAACAUCUUGAAACAUCUAUAGGAAUCCAGCCCUCAGUAACUUCUGCAAGAAUCCCCUAAGGCGUGAAGACUCAUCUGGCCACAAUUCCUUUUGUCCUGGAGACUACUGACCCCUAAAAAGGAAUGUCAACUGUGCAAGGGGCUUUUACACAAAGCCAAUUAUCUCCUCCUACUCUCUCUGCCAAUCUUGGAAAAGUCAAGUCCUGGACUUGUUAAAGAAGGUGAUUCAUCUCUGUGUGGAAAGAAUGCCAACAGCAACUGUAUAAAAGGUUUCUUUCUUCACAUCCCUAAUUCCUGAGGACCUGAUAGUCACUUACUGUAAGGAGACUCAAGAUGAGCUUAUCUGUGACUCACCAUCUGUCCUAUGCUCUUAUAUACAAUCUACUUCCUUCCCGUUCUUCAUGUAAAUGGACUGGCCAAAGCUUUCUGAGAGGAUGAGUAUUAUAAUUAAGAAACAGAGUAGACAAUAAGGCAAAUGAUAAAUUUCACAAAUAAACAUGUAAUAGAAACUUCAGCAUUUUAACAUGUAAUAGAAAAUAUUGUUUAUAAUUUUAUUCUGAGAACCUAGCAUGUUCUUCUAAAAGUUUCAACCAUUUUGGCAUAUCAAUUUUUAAAAUACGAUUAGUGAUGCAUUUAUUCGUAGUCUCAGGACUCAGAAAACCAAAAGAGACAAUUAAAAAGUUCAUUGUAUUUCUCUAAUGACCAGUGAUGAUGAGCUUUUUUUCAUAUGCUUGUUGGCCAC
Molecule: long non-coding RNA, 1855 nt
Filed under: Homo sapiens (human)
Lineage: Eukaryota; Metazoa; Chordata; Mammalia; Primates; Hominidae
Description: HSALNT0310767
Source: RNAcentral